This 23-nucleotide non-coding RNA is filed under the name Cricetulus griseus (Chinese hamster). The record is from RNAcentral. Lineage: Eukaryota; Metazoa; Chordata; Mammalia; Rodentia; Cricetidae.
AACAACUUUCUGCUGAGCCACGG